RNAcentral lists this ribosomal RNA (703 nucleotides) under uncultured Bacilli bacterium. Its description in RNAcentral is "bacterial SSU rRNA". It matches the Rfam family "Bacterial small subunit ribosomal RNA", at positions 47 to 735 of the family's 1533-position model. The record is from RNAcentral. Lineage: Bacteria; Bacillati; Bacillota; Bacilli.
CCUAAUACAUGCAAGUAGAACGCUGAAGGAGGAGCUUGCUCUUCUGGAUGAGUUGCGAACGGGUGAGUAACGCGUAGGUAACCUGCCUGGUAGUGGGGGAUAACUAUUGGAAACGAUAGCUAAUACCGCAUAAUAACAGUUGUUGCAUGACAACUGUUUGAAAGGUGCAAUUGCAUCACUACCAGAUGGACCUGCGUUGUAUUAGCUAGUUGGUGGGGUAACGGCUCACCAAGGCGACGAUACAUAGCCGACCUGAGAGGGUGAUCGGCCACACUGGGACUGAGACACGGCCCAGACUCCUACGGGAGGCAGCAGUAGGGAAUCUUCGGCAAUGGACGAAAGUCUGACCGAGCAACGCCGCGUGAGUGAAGAAGGUUUUCGGAUCGUAAAGCUCUGUUGUAAGAGAAGAACGAGUGUGAGAGUGGAAAGUUCACACUGUGACGGUAUCUUACCAGAAAGGGACGGCUAACUACGUGCCAGCAGCCGCGGUAAUACGUAGGUCCCGAGCGUUGUCCGGAUUUAUUGGGCGUAAAGCGAGCGCAGGCGGUUAGAUAAGUCUGAAGUUAAAGGCUGUGGCUUAACCAUAGUACGCUUUGGAAACUGUUUAACUUGAGUGCAAGAGGGGAGAGUGGAAUUCCAUGUGUAGCGGUGAAAUGCGUAGAUAUAUGGAGGAACACCGGUGGCGAAAGCGGCUCUCUGGCUU